UGGGGAAUAUUGCACAAUGGGGGAAACCCUGAUGCAGCGACGCCGCGUGAGUGAAGAAGUAUUUCGGUAUGUAAAGCUCUAUCAGCAAGGAAGAUAAUGACGGUACUUGACUAAGAAGCCCCGGCUAACUACGUGCCAGCAGCCGCGGUAAUACGUAGGGGGCAAGCGUUAUCCGGAUUUACUGGGUGUAAAGGGAGCGUAGGUGGUAUGGUAAGUCAGAUGUGAAAGCCCAGGGCUCAACCCUGGGACUGCAUUUGAAACUACCAAACUAGAGUGCAGGAGAGGUAAGUGGAAUUCCUAGUGUAGCGGUGAAAUGCGUAGAUAUUAGGAGGAACACCAGUGGCGAAGGCGGCUUACUGGACUGUAACUGACACUGAGGCUCGAAAGCGUGGGGAGCAAACA
Molecule: ribosomal RNA, 402 nt
Filed under: uncultured bacterium
Lineage: Bacteria
Description: bacterial SSU rRNA
Rfam family: Bacterial small subunit ribosomal RNA
Source: RNAcentral